AUUGAACGCUGGCGGCAUGCUUUACACAUGCAAGACGAACGGUAACAGGCCGCAAGGUGCUGACGAGUGGCGAACGGGUGAGUAAUGCAUCGGAACGUGCCCAGUCGUGGGGGAUAACUACUCGAAAGAGUAGCUAAUACCGCAUACGAUCUAUGGAUGAAAGCGGGGGACCGUAAGGCCUCGCGCGAUUGGAGCGGCCGAUGUCAGAUUAGGUAGUUGGUGGGGUAAAGGCUCACCAAGCCAACGAUCUGUAGCUGGUCUGAGAGGACGACCAGCCACACUGGGACUGAGACACGGCCCAGACUCCUACGGGAGGCAGCAGUGGGGAAUUUUGGACAAUGGGCGCAAGCCUGAUCCAGCAAUGCCGCGUGCAGGAAGAAGGCCUUCGGGUUGUAAACUGCUUUUGUACGGAACGAAACGGCUCUGGUUAAUACCCGGGGCUAAUGACGGUACCGUAAGAAUAAGCACCGGCUAACUACGUG
This 482-nucleotide ribosomal RNA is filed under the name uncultured bacterium. RNAcentral describes it as "partial 16S ribosomal RNA". It matches the Rfam family "Bacterial small subunit ribosomal RNA", at positions 30 to 507 of the family's 1533-position model. The record is from RNAcentral.